AACGCACAUUGCGCUCCUUGGUAUUCCGAGGAGCAUGCCUGUUUGAGCGUCAGUAAACUCCCUCAACCUAAGGGUUGGUGAUGGACCACGCGAGCGUAGGCUUGCCGGUCUGAAUUGCAUCGGCCCGGCCAUUUCCUUCAGGCUAUCAGCGUAAUAGGUCCAACCGUCUCGCUGGCUAUCGCCUCUGGAUGAGGGCCGCGCCUUAAGCUCUUUUUUUUGAACUUGACCUCAAAUCAGGUAGGGAUACCCGCUGAACUUAA
RNAcentral lists this unclassified non-coding RNA (260 nucleotides) under Ramaria sp. Its description in RNAcentral is "partial contains 5.8S ribosomal RNA, internal transcribed spacer 2, and large subunit ribosomal RNA". The stretch from base 1 to 52 matches the Rfam family "5.8S ribosomal RNA", at positions 103 to 154 of the family's 154-position model. The record is from RNAcentral. RNAcentral also lists the same sequence under 2 other names. Lineage: Eukaryota; Fungi; Basidiomycota; Agaricomycetes; Gomphales; Gomphaceae.